GAAGGGGAUUGUAACGGUCACGUUACAAAAUUAGCUCUUUAAUUAUUAUUAUAAUUAUUUUUCCUCGGUCUCCAUUUAAAUUCUCUAAUUUCUCGUAUAGGACUACUGGGGUGACGUCAUACCUCGGUGAUGGAACGUACUCCACCUAUCGAGAAUGAUUUCGUUUUCUGAGAGAGUUUGACGUUUACCUUGGCGGAGAAGCGCCUCUCGUUCUUUACUUGACUGUUGGCUGUUGUGUCGAAUAGAGGUACCAUAUAGAAUGGCGGAUGAUUUCAUCCAACUUAUUUUAUAACAUCAAGCAAUUUAAAGUAAAGUAAAAAGUUACCACCAAGGAUUGUCUGGAGUGAGGAGACAUGUGGGUGACAACUCCUGUUGGAGUCUAAAUAGGAAUCAUUCGCCAUUUGGGAGAAACCCUACCAUGAAGUCAUAGACCUUAUUUGACCACCUAGAGAAACCACUACAGCCACAGUCAAGUCAUCAUGGGAGUAUGUCUAAUUGGGAGCAAGCUAUGGGAGCGUUCCAGCUCAGUUUUCGUCUUGGCACCUGGGCCUACAGGAGUCAUGGGUCGCACCAUCCUGGUGCAUCAUUUUCUAGGAUGCAACCGCAACCUUUUUAGGAAUCAUUGGGAUUCGUUUGGAAACAAUUAGUGUGUUUUAGUAACUAUUGGUUUUUUUUUACAUUUCAGACUCUCGGUUUAAUGCGCUAUGUUAAUUAAUUUUUUUUCCAGAUUUAGUUUACCUCUGGUUUUUUUUUUAAUAUAUUUGUAUAUUAGAUUAUUUGGUUCCCAAACUUUGUAUCUACGGUAACUUCUUGUGCACAGGAAUAAGCCUAGAGAAAAUUAGGUUUUUAAUACUUUAUUAUUGCUUUGAUAUUGGUUUAUGUAAUUCGGGUAAAUUUAUUUUUUUUAAUAUUACUAGCUUGUUUCCCAAAUAUUUUACUGUUAUUCGCUUUAUUCCAUUUGUUCGGUUAAUUUAGGUCAUCGUCGGUAUUUAUCUCAACUUCAUUUCUACUUUAGUCAAUUGUAUAUUUAACUUUAUCUAUUCAUUAUUGUAUUUUCCCUUAGUGAGGCUUGGGCCUAUUUAUUUGUAGUAUUUUCAUCUUUGUCAGUUUCAUUUAGUUGUACGUAGCAGGCGUACUAUAACCAUUUGGUAGAAGACUUAUGUAAUUUUGUACCCUAUAUGUUAGUGAGAGGUACUUAUACCUGUAAUUUUGUAACAGAUAACAUUAUUGUUGUUAUCUUAGAGAUAACUUUUUGUAUAACUUAUGUCAUUUUAGAGUCACAUGAUAUACACUUUGUGUAACUCAGAGAUUGUCAAAAAUCUAGUAGUUAUUUUUAAUAAAUAUGUAUUUAUUUUGUA
This is a long non-coding RNA of Diabrotica virgifera virgifera (western corn rootworm), 1358 nucleotides long. RefSeq lists it as uncharacterized. The record is from RefSeq and is a predicted model, not a curated record. The transcript has 2 exons. Lineage: Eukaryota; Metazoa; Arthropoda; Insecta; Coleoptera; Chrysomelidae.